This 551-nucleotide ribosomal RNA is filed under the name Pseudoxiphophorus jonesii (barred killifish). RNAcentral's name for it is "partial 16S large subunit ribosomal RNA". It matches the Rfam family "Bacterial large subunit ribosomal RNA", at positions 1847 to 2597 of the family's 2925-position model. The record is from RNAcentral. Lineage: Eukaryota; Metazoa; Chordata; Actinopteri; Cyprinodontiformes; Poeciliidae.
AAGAGGUCCUGCCUGCCCUGUGAUUUAAAUUUAACGGCCGCGGUAUCUUGACCGUGCAAAGGUAGCGUAAUCACUUGUCUUUUAAAUAAAGACCCGUAUGAAUGGCAAUACGAGGGCUUAACUGUCUCCUUCCCCCAGUCAAUGAAAUUGAUCUCCCCGUGCAGAAGCGGGGAUACUAACAUAAGACGAGAAGACCCUAUGGAGCUUUAGACGCAUUGACAGACCACGUAAAGCCUUCUUAAUUAAAAAAUAAAACCAACUGGCCCCCGUCACGAUGUCUUUGGUUGGGGCGACCUUGGGAAAAUAAAAAACACCCAAGCGGAAUGAAGACACCCUACCUUCAUAAAAAAGAGCCGCAGCUCACAAAAUCAGAAUCUCUGACCUAAAGAUCCGAUAUAAUCGAUCAACGGACCGAGUUACCCUAGGGAUAACAGCGCAAUCCCCUUUCAGAGCUCCUAUCGACAAGGGGGUUUACGACCUCGAUGUUGGAUCAGGACAUCCUAAUGGUGCAGCCGCUAUUAAGGGCUCGUUUGUUCAACGAUUAAAGUCCU